GACGAACGCUGGCGGCGUGCUUAACACAUGCAAGUCGAACGGAAAGGCCCUGCUUUUGUGGGGUGCUCGAGUGGCGAACGGGUGAGUAACACGUGAGUAACCUGCCCUUGACUUUGGGAUAACUUCAGGAAACUGGGGCUAAUACCGGAUAGGAGCUCCUGUUGCAUGGUGGGGGUUGGAAAGUUUCGGCGGUUGGGGAUGGACUCGCGGCUUAUCAGCUUGUUGGUGGGGUAGUGGCUUACCAAGGCUUUGACGGGUAGCCGGCCUGAGAGGGUGACCGGCCACAUUGGGACUGAGAUACGGCCCAGACUCCUACGGGAGGCAGCAGUGGGGAAUAUUGCACAAUGGGCGGAAGUCUGAUGCAGCAACGCCGCGUGCGGGAUGACGGCCUUCGGGUUGUAAACCGCUUUCGCCUGUGACGAAGCGUGAGUGACGGUAAUGGGUAAAGAAGCACCGGCUAACUACGUG
This 468-nucleotide ribosomal RNA is filed under the name uncultured bacterium. Its description in RNAcentral is "partial 16S ribosomal RNA". It matches the Rfam family "Bacterial small subunit ribosomal RNA", at positions 28 to 507 of the family's 1533-position model. The record is from RNAcentral.